UUGACAGCCCUGCUGGCUAAAAUCUGCUGUUUACCCACAGAAUGGAACCUUGUGUGCCACAGAAGCUUUCUUAUUCUCAUCACCUACAUGCCGCAGGUCUGCUCUGCCGAAGCACCUCUAGGGGUGAGCGCACGCUUCUGUCUCCAAGCUAAAUUCAGUCCCUGAUCUCU
Unclassified non-coding RNA from Junco hyemalis (dark-eyed junco), 170 nucleotides. The record is from Ensembl. Lineage: Eukaryota; Metazoa; Chordata; Aves; Passeriformes; Passerellidae.